RNAcentral lists this long non-coding RNA (705 nucleotides) under Homo sapiens (human). RNAcentral describes it as "LHRI_LNC1364.8". The record is from RNAcentral. Lineage: Eukaryota; Metazoa; Chordata; Mammalia; Primates; Hominidae.
AUCGAGUUAGUGCUAGCAUAGAAUCUAACAAGAAAUGGCCCUGCAUCCAUUCUCUUUUCUUCUAAUAACAGCCCCAGAUUUCCAUUUUUGGACCUACCUUUUCCUUUUUAUCAGGCUAAGUGUUCAUGGUGGGGCUCUGUCCUUAGUUCCAGGGAUAAAGCCUGUGACCCAAACUUAAACCGCAGAUCAUUUUCCCCAGGCCAUGGAGAUUGUUUCAAAUGUGGGCACAUGGCCUGAAUGGGUCAUAUCAGAGUAAAUCUUAGGGCUUCUGGGUUAUGCCACCAUCACAGGCUCUUGCUUUCCUCACUGAACUUGAACCUAGACGGAUGUAAGCUGGAGCUGUGGCAGCCAUCAUUGCCCUGUGAAAAGUCCACUUGGAGCUGCCAAAGACCACCCCAGGAGCUUCAGAAUGAAGACAACCUGGAAGUCAGAGCUGACAGAAAUAAGGUGAAGUUAGCUUGAGGAAAGAGCUGUAAGGAAGAGUGAAGUCAGCUGAGUCAAGGACACAAGCGGAAAAUGUGCAAAGAUGAGCCAGAAGCAUGGAAAAGUACCUCCAAGACAGAGGAGAACUGAUCCAAGAGAAAGGAGAUGGGAGUGGGCAUCACGUACAGCCAGAGGGCGCCACCUGCCGGAUAGUUUCAGAUGGAAACACCCAAAGUAGCAACACUGACUGCCUCUAGGGGGGGAAACCGAGCAUCUAGAAGG